GGCGGAUGUAGCCAAGGGGAUUAAGGCAGG
Molecule: transfer RNA, 30 nt
Filed under: Streptanthus bracteatus
Lineage: Eukaryota; Viridiplantae; Streptophyta; Magnoliopsida; Brassicales; Brassicaceae
Also listed under: 1 other name
Description: partial tRNA-His
Source: RNAcentral